UAAAGCAAGAAAGGGCGUAUGGGGAAUGCCUAGGCACACUCCGGCGAAGAAGGACGCAGCAAACAGCGAAAUGCGACGGUGAGCGGUAAGCACGUGAAGAGCCGUCGAUAUCCGAAUGGGGGAACCCACACGGAGUCAUAUCCGUGUAUCACAUGUCGAAUACAUAGACAUGAUGAGGCGAGACGCAGGGAACUGAAACAUCUAAGUACCUGCAGGAAGAGAAAAUAAGAAUGAUUUUCUGAGUAGCGGCGAGCGAAAGGGAAAGAGCCCAAACCGAUUUGAGGAUCGGGGUAGUAGGAUCAUCGAUAAAUCAAACAGAGGAUCAUAGAGGAAUCACAUGGGAAGGUGAGCGAGAGAGGGUGAGAGCCCCGUACUCGAAAUGAGAGACUGGAGAGAGAUGACACCUGAGUAGGGCGGGACACGAGAAAUCCUGUCUGAAUCAGCCGGGACCAUCCGGCAAGGCUAAAUACGAGAGAGUGACCGAUAGUGAACCAGUACCGUGAGGGAAAGGUGAAAAGAACCCCGGGAGGGGAGUGAAAGAGAACCUGAAACCCUGCACUUACAAGCUGUAGGAGCACAUUAUUUGUGUGACUGCGUACUUUUUGUAGAACGGGCCAACGAGUUACGUUGUGUAGCAAGGUUAAGCACUUAAGGUGUGGAGCCGUAGCGAAAGCGAGUCUUAAAUGGGCGUCCAGUUACCCGACGUAGACCCGAAACCAGGCGACCUAUCCAUGAGCAGGUUGAAGCGAAAGUAAAAUUUCGUGGAGGACCGAACCCACGUACGUUGAAAAGUGCGGGGAUGACUUGUGGAUAGCGGUGAAAUUCCAAUCGAGCCUGGAGAUAGCUGGUUCUCCCCGAAAUAGCUUUAGGGCUAGCCUCAAGCUUAGAGAAACGGAGGUAGAGCACUGAAUGUCCUAGGGGGUAUUGCACUUACCGAAGACUAUCAAACUCCGAAUGCCGUAUUCUUUUGCUUGGGAGUCAGACUAUGGGUGAUAAGAUUCAUAGUCAAGAGGGCAACAGCCCAGAUCGUCAGCUAAGGUCCCUAAAUGUAAGUUAAGUGGUAAAGGAUGUGGAAUUGCACAGACAACCAGGAUGUUGGCUUAGAAGCAGCCACUCAUUUAAAGAGUGCGUAAUAGCUCACUGGUCGAGUGAUUCUGCGCCGAAAAUUUCCGGGGCUAAAACUUACUACCGAAGCUACGGCAUCAUUAUGAUGGGUAGGGGAGCUUUCUAUGCGGCUUGAAGCAUGACCGUAAGGACAUGUGGACUGCAUAGAAGUGAGAAUGUUGGCAUGAGUAGCGAGAUGUGGGUGAGAAUCCCACAGGCCGUAAACCCAAGGUUUCCAGGGGAAGGUUCGUCCGCCCUGGGUUAGUCAGGACCUAAGCCGAGGCCGAAAGGCGUAGGUGAUGGACAACAGGUUGAUAUUCCUGUACCACCAAUAACCGUUUGAGAAAUGGGAUGACACAGUAGGAUAAGCUAACCGCACUGUUGGUUAUGUGCGGGCAAGUAUUGAGGCAGUUCCGAUAGGCAAAUCCGUCGGAAUAAUGCUGGGGUACGAUGCGGAGCGAAAUUUAGUAGCGAAGUAGCUGAUUUCACACUGUCGAGAAAAGUCUCUAUCGAGGUUAAAGGUGCCUGUACCGCAAACCGACACAGGUGGGUGAGGAGAGUAUCCUAAGGCCAGCGAGAGAACUGUUGUUAAGGAACUCGGCAAAAUGACCCCGUAACUUCGGGAGAAGGGGUGCCUUCGAAAGAAGGCCGCAGAGAAUAGGCCCAAGCGACUGUUUACCAAAAACAUAGGUUUCUGCUAAGUCGCAAGACGAUGUAUAGGAGCUGACGCCUGCCCGGUGCUGGAAGGUUAAGGGGAUCUGUUAGAGCAAUCGAAGCAGUGAACUUAAGCCCCAGUAAACGGCGGCCGUAACUAUAACGGUCCUAAGGUAGCGAAAUUCCUUGUCGGGUAAGUUCCGACCCGCACGAAAGGCGUAACGAUUUGGGCACUGUCUCAACAACAGACUCGGUGAAAUUGUAAUACCGGUGAAGAUGCCGGUUACCUGCGACAGGACGGAAAGACCCCAUGGAGCUUUACUGUAGCUUGACAUUGAGUCUCGGUGCUACAUGUACAGGAUAGGUGGGAGACUAUGAAGCAUGGACGUCAGUCUGUGUGGAGUCAUCCUUGGGAUACCACCCUUGUAGUACUGGGAUUCUAACCAGAGGCCAUGAAUCUGGUCUUGGGACACUGUCAGGUGGACAGUUUGACUGGGGCGGUCGCCUCCCAAAAAGUAACGGAGGCGCUCAAAGGUUCUCUCAGUACGGUCGGAAAUCGUACGAAGAGUGUAAAGGCAAAAGAGAGCUUGAUUGCAAGACAUACAGGUCGAGCAAGGACGAAAGUCGGACUUAGUGAUCCGGUGGUUCCGCAUGGAAGGGCCAUCGCUCAACGGAUAAAAGCUACCCUGGGGAUAACAGGCUGAUCUCCCCCAA
RNAcentral lists this ribosomal RNA (2472 nucleotides) under human gut metagenome. RNAcentral describes it as "bacterial LSU rRNA". It matches the Rfam family "Bacterial large subunit ribosomal RNA", at positions 1 to 2495 of the family's 2925-position model. The record is from RNAcentral.